CCUGUUAACAUAUAAGCAAUGAGGAAAAGCAAUAGAAUCUUCCAAAAGUUUCGAACCUCAUGAACAAACCCAUUUCAUACAACAAAGUAAAUAAAUGACAGAGCCAAAGCCUGGUAGAGAUUAUAUAUGGAAAGAGUUCAUCCUGACAGACAUGAAAGAAAAUAUGUUAUGUAGAACUCUGAAGAAGCAUUCAAACACCCAAUUACAUAUCUGAUGCCAACAGUUCCAUCAAAAUCGAAUGUUUAAUUAAUCGUAAAUUACUAACAUCAUCAGAAGCCGGUACAUGGCAGUCUUUACUAGGAGGAUUUUAGAAAGUGUCUAUCCAAGAUUGGACCUUUUUAAGCAUAACUACUUCGGGGAAAGGCCCGGUGGACU
RNAcentral lists this long non-coding RNA (375 nucleotides) under Musa acuminata (dwarf banana). RNAcentral's name for it is "long non-coding RNA (MACU_LNC001522)". Lineage: Eukaryota; Viridiplantae; Streptophyta; Magnoliopsida; Zingiberales; Musaceae. The record is from RNAcentral.